CGGCUUAGAGUUUGAUCCUGGCUCAGAAUAANCGCUGGCGGCGUGCCUAACACAUGCAAGUCGAACGAGAAAGUCCUUCGGGAUUAGUACAGUGGCGAACGGGUGAGUAAUACGUGAGAAUCUGCCUUUUGGUGAAGGAUACCUUCGAGAAAUCGGAGUUAAUACUGCAUAAGUCUCUUGCGAGGGAAAGACGGCCUAAAAGCUGUCGCCGAAAGAUGAGCUCGCGGCCUAUUAGUUAGUUGGUGGGGUAAAGGCCUACCAAGACGAAGAUGGGUAGCCGGCCUGAGAGGGUGUACGGCCACAUUGGGACUGAGAUACGGCCCAGACUCCUACGGGAGGCAGCAGUGGGGAAUAUUGCGCAAUGGACGAAAGUCUGACGCAGCGACGCCGCGUGAGGGAUGAAGGUCUUCGGAUUGUAAACAUCUGUUAAGUGGGAAGAAAUACGCAGGAGUAAUAGGUCU
RNAcentral lists this ribosomal RNA (461 nucleotides) under uncultured bacterium. Its description in RNAcentral is "SSU rRNA". It matches the Rfam family "Bacterial small subunit ribosomal RNA", at positions 1 to 470 of the family's 1533-position model. The record is from RNAcentral.